Molecule: non-coding RNA, 410 nt
Organism: Peromyscus maniculatus bairdii (prairie deer mouse)
Lineage: Eukaryota; Metazoa; Chordata; Mammalia; Rodentia; Cricetidae
Source: RefSeq, a predicted model, not a curated record
GCAAGCAAAGGGAUCCUUGGAAGGCAGUGAAGUGAGGUUUAUAUGCAGGCCAGGCAAGAGAAUCAUGCUCUAAGUGGGAGAAGCAGCUACGAAAAGCCUCUUGUAAUUUCGAGAUUCAACGAUGGUACUAGACAAGGCCUAAAGCAGUUAACACUAAGGACCAGAAGGCCAAAGGAGAAGACUGAGAGUCUCAAAUUCUACCUGGAUUGUACCAACUAUGCCUGAAAUAUUUAAAUCUGGACUUUGAAAUUUCACAAGAACUUUACCUUUGGAUUUCUCAUAUGCUAACGUAACGAAAAUGUGUCUGUUAACAAUGAACGAACAUACCAUCUUCCUAAGAUACUGUGGUAGUUCAGACAUGCAAGCUAACUAUCCAUACCCAUAAAAUAAAAACAAAAAGGUUUACUGUA